Aquila chrysaetos chrysaetos is the source of this 206-nucleotide long non-coding RNA. RefSeq lists it as uncharacterized. The record is from RefSeq and is a predicted model, not a curated record. The transcript has 2 exons. NCBI's taxonomy places the organism in Eukaryota, Metazoa, Chordata, Aves, Accipitriformes, Accipitridae.
AAGGAGGCUGUGACCCCGUGGGAAGCCCACGUUGGAGCAGUCUGUGCCUGAAGGACUGCACCCCGUGGAAGGGACCCAUGCUGGAGCAGUUCAUAAAGAACUGUAGCCCAUGAGAAGGACUCACGUUGGAGAAGUUCAUGGAGAACUGCACCCCAUGGGAGGGACCCCACGCUGGAACAGGGGAAGAGUGUGAGGAGUCCUCCCCC